Non-coding RNA from Homo sapiens (human), 117 nucleotides. It matches the Rfam family "Metazoan signal recognition particle RNA". Rfam says of the family: The signal recognition particle (SRP) is a universally conserved ribonucleoprotein. It is involved in the co-translational targeting of proteins to membranes. NCBI's taxonomy places the organism in Eukaryota, Metazoa, Chordata, Mammalia, Primates, Hominidae. The record is from Rfam.
GCCAGGCGUGGUGGCUCACGCCUGUAAUCCAAGCAGUUUGGGAGGCUGAGGUGGGCGGAUCACUUGAGGUCAGGAGUUCGAGACCAGCCUGGCCAAUACAGUGAAACCCCGUCUCUA